This 429-nucleotide ribosomal RNA is filed under the name Bacteroidota bacterium. RNAcentral describes it as "Bacteroidetes bacterium partial 16S ribosomal RNA". It matches the Rfam family "Bacterial small subunit ribosomal RNA", at positions 355 to 776 of the family's 1533-position model. The record is from RNAcentral. Lineage: Bacteria; Pseudomonadati; Bacteroidota.
UAGGGAAUCUUCCGCAAUGGACGCAAGUCUGACGGAGCAACGCCGCGUGAGUGAAGAAGGAUUUCGGUUCGUAAAACUCUGUUGUUAGAGAAGAACAGCGCAUAGAGUAACUGUUAUGCGUGUGACGGUAUCUAACCAGAAAGCCACGGCUAACUACUUGCCAGCAGCCGUGGUAAUACGUAGGUGGCAAGCGUUGUCCGGAUUUAUUGGGCGUAAAGCGAGCGCAGGCGGUCAAUUAAGUCUGAUGUGAAAGCCCCCGGCUCAACCGGGGAGGGUCAUUGGAAACUGAUUGACUUGAGUGCAGAAGAGGAGAGUGGAAUUCCAUGUGUAGCGGUGAAAUGCGUAGAUAUAUGGAGGAACACCAGUGGCGAAGGCGACUCUCUGGUCUGUAACUGACGCUGAGGCUCGAAAGCGUGGGUAGCAAACAGG